Long non-coding RNA from Paramisgurnus dabryanus, 465 nucleotides. RefSeq lists it as uncharacterized. The record is from RefSeq and is a predicted model, not a curated record. NCBI's taxonomy places the organism in Eukaryota, Metazoa, Chordata, Actinopteri, Cypriniformes, Cobitidae.
AAAUAUCCCAGAGUUCCCUGUCCUGACCACACGUGUUCAUUCAUUCUCUUUCCUCCUGCAUACGAGAACAGUCAGCAUGAAUGGAGGCAGCAUGAGUGUGUAUUGGCCAUCCGAACCCCCUGACUGAAGGGAAGCUCAUUGAUUACUAGAAUGUAUUAGUUAAAAAGCCUUACAUGUGGGAUAUGCCUAAAGGCCAGAGUCACGUGGAAUCAACCACUAACGGUUAACCAUGAACUAGUAAUGAAUGGUAAAGUCUGUCAGAGAAACAGAAGACUGUAGUCCGUUGCUUAAGUAGCAUUGAUCAUCUUACCUCUGGGACACAUGCAUGCAGUGAUUGUGGUGCCUUGGUCUCCCACCAUCAGAUGCUAUUCAGAUUUUUCUGAAAGAGGAUGUUUAUAUUGUCAUAUAAGCCAUAUUUAUAUUGUUUAAGUGUAGUGUCUUUCAAAUAAAUAAGAUUUUACCCAC